CUCGUAUUUCUGAGAACACUUUAUACAAGCCUUGCACAAGCCCACUCUCAUAAAAGCGUGUCUGUGGUGACAUCCAGAGCCACAAGAAGGGGAGCGGUAGAAAGGCCCAAAGUGGUGAGGACAGCCCACAAGUGGAACUGGCAGGAGCGAACCCCAAGAGGGUGGGAAGGGGUGGAUACAGCACCGGAGACAUGAGCCCCGGCACUCCUUCCCAGCAGUGCCUUUCUGGAGAGGCACGGGGCAGGCAGGGGGAUGGCAGCCCGCCGGCGCCCGCAGCUCUGCCCGCCACGGAGCCCCGGCGGCUCGGGGCGCUGAGCGGAGCCCGGGCGGGCCAUGAGCGGGGCGCAGGGAGGGCAGGAGGCAGCCCCGGCCGAGCGGAGCUGAGCCAGUUCCUGCCAGCGCCCCUGGACACUGUGAGCCCCUAACACCCACAGCUGAGCCCUGGACAGCGCUGGGGCCGAGCUCCUGCCCUGCUGACAGGGAUGAAGGCAGAGCCAUGUUCCCUGCUACCUGAGCUGCCUGCUGCUGCUGCAGCUCGUGGAUAUGGUGCCAGCCCUGGCUCUGCGCACAGACUCUCAGCUCUGAGGAUUUAGGGGCAGCAGAGCCCCCAGCUGUGGAGCACGCUCCCCCAGCCACCCCAGCACGGAGGGGCUGCAGCUCUGGAGAGUUACUAUGCAGCUUGGACUGCUUGUGGUGGUGGUUUUUCUGAGCUCCAUGGAUCCAACAGGCAGCAGCAAGGUGGUGAAGGGCAAGAGGCAAAGACGAAGUAUGUAUGAAAUGCUUUUCUUGUCUACUUCUUCUCAUGGUGUGAGAAGGGGCUGGGCAGGGCCUGUGGUGCCCCAAGAGCCUGCAGAGAUCCCCAAAUCCCUCUCACCAUGUGCCCUGACCUGUCCCCUGAUGUAAGAGAUGAAAUGAAGGAUGUGGGACUCCAGGCUGCUCUCCAAAAUGCAGUUUAUUGUAUUCAAGAGGUUACAGCAGUCCAGGGUUGUGGGUGACAGAGCCUGUGCCUACAGCUGUCAGCUCCAGCUGCAGGCAGGCCUGGAGACCUUGAGGUUAGGUUACAGUACAUUAUAUACUUUUCUUUAGGUCACAAUCCAUUCUAUACUUUUCUUUGCUG
RNAcentral lists this long non-coding RNA (1117 nucleotides) under Junco hyemalis (dark-eyed junco). Its description in RNAcentral is "lncRNA (ENSJHYG00000005149.1)". The record is from RNAcentral. Lineage: Eukaryota; Metazoa; Chordata; Aves; Passeriformes; Passerellidae.